AUUGAACGCUGGCGGCAGGCCUAACACAUGCAAGUCGAACGGUAACAGGAAGAAGCUUGCUUCUUUGCUGACGAGUGGCGGACGGGUGAGUAAUGUCUGGGAAACUGCCUGAUGGAGGGGGAUAACUACUAGAAACGGUAGCUAAUACCGCAUAACGUCGCAAGACCAAAGAGGGGGACCUUCGGGCCUCUUGCCAUCGGAUGUGCCCAGAUGGGAUUAGCUAGUAGGUGGGGUAACGGCUCACCUAGGCGACGAUCCCUAGCUGGUCUGAGAGGAUGACCAGCCACACUGGAACUGAGACACGGUCCAGACUCCUACGGGAGGCAGCAGUGGGGAAUAUUGCACAAUGGGCGCAAGCCUGAUGCAGCCAUGCCGCGUGUAUGAAGAAGGCCUUCGGGUUGUAAAGUACUUUCAGCGGGGAGGAAGGGAGUAAAGUUAAUACCUUUGCUCAUUGACGUUACCCGCAGAAGAAGCACCGGCUAACUCCGUG
RNAcentral lists this ribosomal RNA (490 nucleotides) under uncultured bacterium. RNAcentral's name for it is "partial 16S ribosomal RNA". It matches the Rfam family "Bacterial small subunit ribosomal RNA", at positions 30 to 507 of the family's 1533-position model. The record is from RNAcentral.